UACGUAGGGGGCAAGCGUUAUCCGGAUUUACUGGGUGUAAAGGGAGCGUAGACGGCAAGGCAAGUCUGAUGUGAAAACCCAGGGCUUAACCCUGGGACUGCAUUGGAAACUGUCUGGCUCGAGUGCCGGAGAGGUAAGCGGAAUUCCUAGUGUAGCGGUGAAAUGCGUAGAUAUUAGGAAGAACACCAGUGGCGAAGGCGGCUUACUGGACGGUAACUGACGUUGAGGCUCGAAAGCGUGGGGAGCAAACAGGAUUAGAAACCCGUGUGGCUGACUGACU
Molecule: ribosomal RNA, 280 nt
Filed under: Fusicatenibacter saccharivorans
Lineage: Bacteria; Bacillati; Bacillota; Clostridia; Lachnospirales; Lachnospiraceae
Description: partial 16S ribosomal RNA
Rfam family: Bacterial small subunit ribosomal RNA
Source: RNAcentral